Molecule: long non-coding RNA, 569 nt
Filed under: Homo sapiens (human)
Lineage: Eukaryota; Metazoa; Chordata; Mammalia; Primates; Hominidae
Description: non-protein coding lnc-SENP2-6:1
Source: RNAcentral
AACAUGAACAACCCCUCUUACUCAUGUUACUUCUUCAUGUUAGCCAACCACUUACACUAAAAAUGGUGUUGUAUGUUAUAGAAGGAAAAGAAGAGAUAAUUCAUAGUUUCUUUUCCAUUAGUUUUCCAUAGCUCCAUUAUUCAUUAGUAAGCUGAAGGUGGAGAAUAUUGGUAAAAUGUGCAUAUAUUAAGAAGUGAAAUAAUAAAUGAUAAAUUUUUUUAAAAAGUGAAAUAAGUUUGAGACCAGUCUGGGCAACACAGUGAGAGCCCACCUCUUAAAAAAAAAAAAAAAAAAAUUAGCCGGCCAGGCACAGUGGCUCACGCCUGUAAUCCUAGCACUUUCAGAGGCCAAGGCAAGUGGAUUACUUGAGGUCAGGGGUUCGAGACCAGCCAGGCCAACAUGGUGAAACCCCAUCUCUACUAAAAAUACAAAAAAAUUAGCCAGGCAUGGUGCCGGGUGCCCGUAAUCCCAGCUACUUGGGAGGCUGAGGUAGGAGAACUGCUUGAAUCCAGGAGGUGGAGGUUGCAGUGAGCCGAGAUUGCGCCACUGCACUCCAGCCUGGGCAACAG